GCUUACGGCCAUACCACCCCUGAGCACGCCCGAUCUUGUCUGAUCUCGGAAGACUAAGCAGGGUCGGGCCUGGUUUAGUACUUGGAUGGGAGACUGCCUGGGAUACCAGGUGCAGUAAGCU
This 121-nucleotide ribosomal RNA is filed under the name Neogobius melanostomus (round goby). The record is from RNAcentral. Lineage: Eukaryota; Metazoa; Chordata; Actinopteri; Gobiiformes; Gobiidae.